CAGCAACAGCUUUCAUUGCAUCAACUUCUGGCCCCUGGUAAUUCAAUCCAACCUUGGUUGAUAUUAUUCCUGCAACAUCAUCAGCUUGGCUGACCAUGAUUUUGCAUAGCAACAUAUACUUGAGGCUGUAUAGGGCCUGGGGAUUUUCAAGGGCAUUAAAUGCUUCAAAUGCCUCAUAGAAAUAGCUGUAAGCAGUUUUAUAAUCCUUCUCUUCUGCAUGGAGUAUCCCACUCUGCAAAUCAAUCGCACCUUGCUGAGCUGGAGGGACAUAAAUAGCAUUGGCAGCUGUUCGAGCAGCAGUAAGUGCAGCCUUGGCUUUGGGAAGAUUUCUCAAUGAGAAAUGGAGCUGGCUCUCCAGCAAGUCAAUCUCCACAAGAAGAAGCUUGUCAUCCAAUCUUCUCACCUCCUUGAUCAACCCUGAAAGGAGUGUCAAUGCUUCAGAAUACUCUUUGUUUUCCAUCAAAAGAGCUG
RNAcentral lists this unclassified non-coding RNA (471 nucleotides) under Hevea brasiliensis (rubber tree). The record is from RNAcentral. Lineage: Eukaryota; Viridiplantae; Streptophyta; Magnoliopsida; Malpighiales; Euphorbiaceae.